This 63-nucleotide transfer RNA is filed under the name Ptenothrix huangshanensis. RNAcentral describes it as "tRNA-Ala". The record is from RNAcentral. Lineage: Eukaryota; Metazoa; Arthropoda; Collembola; Symphypleona; Dicyrtomidae.
AGAAUAGUAGUUAAUUAUAAUAACUGUAUUGCAUACAGUAGGUGCUUAUUUAAGCCUAUUUUA